RNAcentral lists this ribosomal RNA (403 nucleotides) under uncultured bacterium. RNAcentral describes it as "partial 16S ribosomal RNA". It matches the Rfam family "Bacterial small subunit ribosomal RNA", at positions 30 to 526 of the family's 1533-position model. The record is from RNAcentral.
AUUGAACGCUGGCGACAGGCCUAACACAUGCAAGUCGAGCGAGCGGCGGACGGGUGAGUAAUGUAUGGGGACUGCCCGAUAGAGGGGGAUAACUACAGGAAACGGUAGCUCAUACCCCAUACUAUCGGAUAACCCAUAUGGGAUUAGCUAUUAGGUGGGGUAAUGGCUCACCUAGGCGACGAUCCCUAGAUGGUCUGAGAGGAUGAUCAGCCACACGGGAACGGAGACAAGGCCCAGACUCCUACGGAGGCAGCAGUGGGGAAUAUGGCACAAUGGGCGCAAGCCUGAUGCAGCCAUGCCGCGUGUAUGAAGAAGGCCCUAGGGGUGUAAAGUACUUUCAGUCGGGAGGCGUUACCGACAGAAGAAGCACCGGCUAACUCCGUGCCAGCAGCCGCGGUAAUAC